This 690-nucleotide ribosomal RNA is filed under the name uncultured Gammaproteobacteria bacterium. RNAcentral's name for it is "bacterial SSU rRNA". It matches the Rfam family "Bacterial small subunit ribosomal RNA", at positions 70 to 755 of the family's 1533-position model. The record is from RNAcentral. Lineage: Bacteria; Pseudomonadati; Pseudomonadota; Gammaproteobacteria.
GAUGGAAGCUUGCUUCCAGGCGUCGAGUGGCGGACGGGUGAGUAAUACAUAGGAAUCUGCCCAGUAGCGGGGGACAACUCGAGGAAACUCGAGCUAAUACCGCAUACGCCCUACGGGGGAAAGCAGGGGAUCUUCGGACCUUGCACUAUUGGAUGAGCCUAUGUCUGAUUAGCUUGUUGGUGGGGUAACGGCUUACCAAGGCGACGAUCAGUAGCUGGUUUGAGAGAACGAUCAGCCACACUGGGACUGAGACACGGCCCAGACUCCUACGGGAGGCAGCAGUGGGGAAUAUUGGACAAUGGGGGCAACCCUGAUCCAGCAAUGCCGCGUGUGUGAAGAAGGCCUUCGGGUUGUAAAGCACUUUCAGUAGGGAAGAAAAGCUAAAGGUUAAUACCCUUGAGUCUUGACGUUACCUACAGAAGAAGCACCGGCUAACUCUGUGCCAGCAGCCGCGGUAAUACAGAGGGUGCAAGCGUUAAUCGGAAUUACUGGGCGUAAAGCGCGCGUAGGUGGUUAGAUAAGUCGGAUGUGAAAGCCCCGGGCUUAACCUGGGAAUUGCAUUCGAUACUGUCUGGCUAGAGUAUGGUAGAGGGAAGUGGAAUUCCACAUGUAGCGGUGAAAUGCGUAGAUAUGUGGAGGAACAUCAGUGGCGAAGGCGACUUCCUGGACCAAUGCUGACACUGAGGUGCG